GCCGAGGUAGCUCAGGUAGUAGAGCACAGCUCUGAAAAAGCUGGUGUCGGGAGUGCAAGUCUCCCCCUCGGCACCA
Molecule: transfer RNA, 76 nt
Filed under: bacterium
Lineage: Bacteria
Description: tRNA-Phe
Rfam family: tRNA
About the family: Transfer RNA (tRNA) molecules are approximately 80 nucleotides in length. Their secondary structure includes four short double-helical elements and three loops (D, anti-codon, and T loops).
Source: RNAcentral